CAAUAGCGUAUAUUAAAGUUGUUGCAGUUAAAAAGCUCGUAGUUGGAUUUCGGGAUGAAAGUCACGGUCUGCCGAAAGGUGUGUACUGUGAGGUUCAUUCUUCCUUCUGUGGACUCUUAUGGUUCUUGACUGAGCUGUGGGAAGGAUGCAGAACGUUUACUUUGAAUAAAUUAGAGUGUUCAAAGCAGGCAUUUGCUUGAAUACAUUAGCAUGGAAUAAUGGAAUAGGACUUUGGUUCUAUUUUGUUGGUUCUAGGACUGAAGUAAUGAUUAAUAGGGAUAGUUGGGGGCAUUAAUAUUUAAUUGUCAGAGGUGAAAUUCUUGGAUUUAUGAAAGAUUAACUUCUGCGAAAGCAUUUGCCAAGGAUGUUUUCAUUAA
Molecule: ribosomal RNA, 377 nt
Filed under: uncultured eukaryote
Lineage: Eukaryota
Description: partial 18S ribosomal RNA
Rfam family: Eukaryotic small subunit ribosomal RNA
Source: RNAcentral